AAGCUUACAUGAACAUUCUGGGCGGGGCUUAAGGACGACCGAGGUAAGGCGGGUUCCGAUUGGAUAGCGCUGACUAAAGCGGAUGACUCCCUGAGAUCUCAGAACUCUGUCCCGAACUGCAGGGCUUCGGUGACGGGACACAGAAUGUGAAUGUAUGACCAGCAGAGUGCAGCUGAAGGAGGACAGGCUUGUAGGUCUUACUGGUUCCUCCAGCUGCUAGAGAUGAAUCAGAGCAUGAGGAUGGAGAGACCAGCAAGUGUUGAGUCAGAGAAGGUCAGGUAGGGAAGGAAGUGUUGCUUUUAGGGUCCGGGUCUGUUUGGCUAAAUAUAUUUCUCCAAGUCAGUUUAUUUAUUGGUUUUAAAAAUAAUGCAUCCUUAUGUGUUGAUGAUACAUUGUAAUAAAAAUACAAAAAUUACCACCAACAUCCUGGCAGAAGUAAAUAAGUUUAUAUCAGAGCUUUUUCUUUUUGGAUCUGGAACACAUUAAAAGCAAAUUACCAAAUUUGCUUUAUUCCCUGUCAUGUUAACGUUCGGUUAUUUCUCCCUUUUUCAAGAGGGCCAACAUCCACAAAAUCCGGUUAUGACGGCGAAUCCUACACUCCGUCCAGCCUGUAGUCGCGGCCCCAGCGCCACCGCCUCCUGUGGUCGUUCCAGCCACUCUAGUUGCUCCGCGUAAAGCGCCACCCGCUGGCGUCCUGUUAGGACAAAAACACCUGGCCAGGAGAGCGAUCGCUGAGCAGCGGAUGUUUUAUCUGUCCCAGCAAGGGUCCCUGCAGACAAUCAGUGGAAACGUUACUUACUGACCAGGGCAGAGUUCCCCUUCUGCCCGCUGACGGUCCGACACGUCGUUCCCACUGAUUGUAUCCUCUGCUGCCAACCACUGGCUCGUUCGGGGUCGCAGUCCUCCGUCACGAACCAUCCUGGAUUCCCCUUUCUUUUCUCCUUCCCCAACGCGAAGUCCUCUGCCUUUUAAAAUCCACUACUGCCAGUGUCUUGCAGGUUCCAGGUACGCUGCCUACGGGCACGCCCACCCCGCACAGGUGACUGGCAUCAGCUGUUAGUUCUUGGAGUCCACAGUGAAU
Long non-coding RNA from Poecilia latipinna (sailfin molly), 1081 nucleotides. RefSeq lists it as uncharacterized. The record is from RefSeq and is a predicted model, not a curated record. The transcript is spliced from 2 exons. NCBI's taxonomy places the organism in Eukaryota, Metazoa, Chordata, Actinopteri, Cyprinodontiformes, Poeciliidae.